AACGAACGCUGGCGGCAUGCCUAACACAUGCAAGUCGAACGAGACCUUCGGGUCUAGUGGCGCACGGGUGCGUAACGCGUGGGAACCUGCCUUUAGGUUCGGAAUAACUCAGAGAAAUUUGAGCUAAUACCGGAUGAUGUCUUCGGACCAAAGAUUUAUCGCCUUUAGAUGGGCCCGCGUUGGAUUAGCUAGUUGGUGGGGUAAAGGCCUACCAAGGCGACGAUCCAUAGCUGGUCUGAGAGGAUGAUCAGCCACACUGGGACUGAGACACGGCCCAGACUCCUACGGGAGGCAGCAGUGGGGAAUAUUGGACAAUGGGCGAAAGCCUGAUCCAGCAAUGCCGCGUGAGUGAUGAAGGCCUUAGGGUUGUAAAGCUCUUUUACCCGAGAUGAUAAUGACAGUAUCGGGAGAAUAAGCUCCGGUUAACUCCGUG
Molecule: ribosomal RNA, 433 nt
Filed under: uncultured bacterium
Lineage: Bacteria
Description: partial 16S ribosomal RNA
Rfam family: Bacterial small subunit ribosomal RNA
Source: RNAcentral